This 492-nucleotide ribosomal RNA is filed under the name uncultured bacterium. RNAcentral describes it as "partial 16S ribosomal RNA". It matches the Rfam family "Bacterial small subunit ribosomal RNA", at positions 29 to 507 of the family's 1533-position model. The record is from RNAcentral.
AGUGAACGCUGGCGGUAGGCCUAACACAUGCAAGUCGAACGGCAGCACAGUAAGAGCUUGCUCUUACGGGUGGCGAGUGGCGGACGGGUGAGGAAUACAUCGGAAUCUACUUUUUCGUGGGGGAUAACGUAGGGAAACUUACGCUAAUACCGCAUACGACCUACGGGUGAAAGCAGGGGAUCUUCGGACCUUGCGCGAUUGAAUGAGCCGAUGUCGGAUUAGCUAGUUGGCGGGGUAAAGGCCCACCAAGGCGACGAUCCGUAGCUGGUCUGAGAGGAUGAUCAGCCACACUGGAACUGCGACACGGUCCAGACUCCUACGGGAGGCAGCAGUGGGGAAUAUUGGACAAUGGGCGCAAGCCUGCUCCAGCCAUACCGCGUGGGUGAAGAAGGCCUUCGGGUUGUAAAGCCCUUUUGUUGGGAAAGAAAAGCAGCAGGUUAAUACCCCGCUGUUCUGACGGUACCCAAAGAAUAAGCACCGGCUAACUUCGUG